CUCGUAGGCGGUUUGUCGCGUCGGGAGUGAAAUCCAUCAGCUUAACUGGUGGUCUGCUUCCGGUACGGGCAGACUGGAGGCAUGCAGGGGAGAACGGAAUUCCUGGUGUAGCGGUGAAAUGCGCAGAUAUCAGGAGGAACACCGGUGGCGAAGGCGGUUCUCUGGGCAUGUCCUGACGCUGAGGAGCGAAAGUGUGGGAGCGAACA
Molecule: ribosomal RNA, 206 nt
Filed under: uncultured bacterium
Lineage: Bacteria
Description: partial 16S ribosomal RNA
Rfam family: Bacterial small subunit ribosomal RNA
Source: RNAcentral